RNAcentral lists this unclassified non-coding RNA (221 nucleotides) under Hevea brasiliensis (rubber tree). The record is from RNAcentral. Lineage: Eukaryota; Viridiplantae; Streptophyta; Magnoliopsida; Malpighiales; Euphorbiaceae.
AAGUGUGUUUCUUAAUUUCGUAGCCGAAGGAUUUUGCAAUUAGCAAACUUCAUAGCUAGCUCAGCGAUUUCAUGUGGAUUUUUCCAAGGUGCCCAAGAAGAUGUUUGGUCCAAACGCUAAAAACGGUUUAUAGAAGAGAAAUUGAUCAAGCUAUAAGCUUUCAUGGAUUUCAGCCCUCUCUUCGGGAAGAACAGUAAUGUAUUCCUCGCAGAGAGCCGUUG